CGCGCAGGCGGUUUGGUAAGUCAGAUGUGAAAUUCACCGGCUCAACCGGUCGAACUGCAUCCGAUACUGCCAGACUUGAGAUCAGUAGAGGAGAGUGGAAUUCCCAGUGUAGCGGUGGAAUGCGUAGAUAUUGGGAAGAACACCGGUGGCGAAGGCGGCUCUCUGGACUGAUUCUGACGCUGAGGCGCGAAAGCUAGGGGAGCGAACAGGAUUAGAUACCCUGGUAGUCC
This 230-nucleotide ribosomal RNA is filed under the name uncultured bacterium. Its description in RNAcentral is "partial 16S ribosomal RNA". It matches the Rfam family "Bacterial small subunit ribosomal RNA", at positions 568 to 796 of the family's 1533-position model. The record is from RNAcentral.